Long non-coding RNA from Vidua chalybeata, 307 nucleotides. RefSeq lists it as uncharacterized. The transcript is spliced from 3 exons. Lineage: Eukaryota; Metazoa; Chordata; Aves; Passeriformes; Viduidae. The record is from RefSeq and is a predicted model, not a curated record.
GUAUAUUUCUCCUUACUGCUGUUAAGAUGGAUUACAAAGGAGCUGGCUCUUCUGAACACUCGAGUUCAUCACAAAGCCCAGACACAGGUGGAUCCGAUUGGCUCUCAGGCCCAAACAAUCCACCAUGAUCCAACCAAGCACUCACUCUGGGAACUGAGCUGUUGGCACAGUUUGGACACCUCCUCUUUACCAGGAGACCCGAACACUGAACAAAGCAGGAGAAUUAUAUAGCCAUGAACAUCAGGUGCUUUAAAUAUUAAUAAUAAAUCUUAUUUAAAGCACUUGAGAAAAAUGCUCUGGAUUUAUU